AUCCAGCCGACGAGUCCCAAAUAGGACGAAAUGUGCAUCCUGGAU
Molecule: non-coding RNA, 45 nt
Organism: Trichobilharzia regenti
Lineage: Eukaryota; Metazoa; Platyhelminthes; Trematoda; Strigeidida; Schistosomatidae
Source: Rfam